UAUACGCUCAAUGGUGGCAUUAAGGCUUAAAUUUCAAAGUCCUAGAAUUUCUAAAGAUUAUUUUUAGUUCAAAAGACUGUUUUGAAAGAAUAAAUGAGAGUGAAUUGCGCAAUUAACUUGGCUUCCUCUGUUCAAGGAGAUAGCAGAUCAGACAUUACUCCAUAACAGCCACUCUUUACGUGUUAGGUUUUGCGGAGAAAAAUGGGGAAAACUUCUCAAAUCAAGGGAGAGACGAGUCCAGGGAUCGCACCCAAGAACCCCAAUUGCAUGAGAGCACCACCCUUGAUUGUGAUGGAAGAUUAGCUUUUGAGAAAGAAUGAAGAAUAGCACCUUGGCACGAAGUAGUGGACCAACUAAACCGACAGACCUUUGAGCUCUUCGUCGUCCUGGAAACUGGAGAAGCCUUUACCUGCUCCUUCGUCACGUGGUUCCAUCAUUGUCU
This is a long non-coding RNA of Actinia tenebrosa (Australian red waratah sea anemone), 442 nucleotides long. The record is from RefSeq and is a predicted model, not a curated record. Lineage: Eukaryota; Metazoa; Cnidaria; Anthozoa; Actiniaria; Actiniidae.